Non-coding RNA from Pelobates cultripes (western spadefoot toad), 605 nucleotides. The record is from the annotation of a GenBank genome assembly. Lineage: Eukaryota; Metazoa; Chordata; Amphibia; Anura; Pelobatidae.
UGAUAUAUCUGGGUAUACACCUUGGCGGUAUAGGUAGAAGCGGCGGUGGUGGAGGAGAUAGCCAACACUGUUUUUUAUUUUUAUUUUUUUGUGAAUUGGGUAGCCCCCAAAAUAUUGGGACAUAUAAAAAAAGAAAAAAAAGAAUAAGUGCACUUGAGUAUAACAAUGGCUGGGUGAGGCCGGUAUAAAUGUCUAUUCUGCACAAGGUACAGAGAAGUCUGGUGGGAUCCAUGCCUGGUUCAUUUUAAUAAAUGUGAGCUUGUCCAUGUUGGCCGUGUGACGGCGACAACGCAUUCGGGUGUGUGCCCUAUCAACUUUCAAUGCUAUUUUCCGCGCCUACCAUGGUGACCACAGGUAACGGGGAAUCAGGGUUCGAUAGAGAGGGAGCCUGAGAAACGGCUACCACAUGCAAAGAAAGCAGCAGGCGCGCAAAUUACCCACUCCCGACUCUGGGAGGUAAUGACGACUAAUAACAAUACCCUACACUUUCGAGGCCCUGUAAUUGUAAUGAGUCCACUUUAAAUUCUUUAACUUGGAUCAAUUGGAGGGCAAGUCUGGUGCAGAGCGACUGACCCGUGCGUGCUGCUGCUGAAACUCCCCUAUCG